This 551-nucleotide ribosomal RNA is filed under the name uncultured bacterium. Its description in RNAcentral is "partial 16S ribosomal RNA". It matches the Rfam family "Bacterial small subunit ribosomal RNA", at positions 355 to 898 of the family's 1533-position model. The record is from RNAcentral.
UAGGGAAUCUUCGGCAAUGGACGAAAGUCUGACCGAGCAACGCCGCGUGAGUGAAGAAGGUUUUCGGAUCGUAAAACUCUGUUGGUAGAGAAGAACGUUGGUGAGAGUGGAAAGCUCAUCAAGUGACGGUAACUACCCAGAAAGGGACGGCUAACUACGUGCCAGCAGCCGCGGUAAUACGUAGGUCCCGAGCGUUGUCCGGAUUUAUUGGGCGUAAAGCGAGCGCAGGUGGUUUAUUAAGUCUGGUGUAAAAGGCAGUGACUCAACCAUUGUAUGCAUUGGAAACUGGUAGACUUGAGUGCAGGAGAGGAGAGUGGAAUUCCAUGUGUAGCGGUGAAAUGCGUAGAUAUAUGGAGGAACACCGGUGGCGAAAGCGGCUCUCUGGCCUGUAACUGACACUGAGGCUCGAAAGCGUAGGGAGCAAACAGGAUUAGAUACCCUGGUAGUCCACGCCGUAAACGAUGAGUGCUGGAUGUAGGGAGCUAUAAGUUCUCUGUAUCGCAGCUAACGCAAUAAGCACUCCGCCUGGGGAGUACGACCGCAAGGUUGAA